AGAUGGGCUCGCGGACCAUUAGCUAGUUGGUGAGGUAACGGCUCACCAAGGCAACGAUGGAUAGCCGACCUGAGAGGGUGAACGGCCACACUGGAACUGAGACACGGUCCAGACUCCUACGGGAGGCAGCAGUGGGGAAUAUUGGGCAAUGGAGGCAACUCUGACCCAGCAACGCCGCGUGAGGGAAGAAGGUUUUCGGAUUGUAAACCUCUGUCCUAGGGGACGAAGAAAGUGACGGUACCCUAGGAGGAAGCCCCGGCUAACUACGUGCCAGCAGCCGCGGUAAUACGUAGGGGGCAAGCGUUGUCCGGAAUUACUGGGCGUAAAGGGUGCGUAGGCGGUAUGGUAAGUUAGAUGUGAAAUCCCCGGGCUUAACUCGGGAGUUGCAUUUAAAACUGUCAGACUAGAGUGCAGGAGAGGAAAGCGGAAUUCCUAGUGUAGCGGUGAAAUGCGUAGAUAUUAGGAGGAACACCAGUGGCGAAGGCGGCUUUCUGGACUGUAACUGACGCUGAGGCACGAAAGCGUGGGGAGCGAACAGGAUUAGAUACCCUGGUAGUCCACGCUGUAAACGUUGGAUACUAGGUGUAGGGACCUAAAAAGGUUUCUGUGCCGCAGCAAACGCAAUAA
RNAcentral lists this ribosomal RNA (627 nucleotides) under uncultured bacterium. RNAcentral's name for it is "bacterial SSU rRNA". It matches the Rfam family "Bacterial small subunit ribosomal RNA", at positions 223 to 863 of the family's 1533-position model. The record is from RNAcentral.